CCUACGGGAGGCAGCAGUGGGGAAUAUUGCACAAUGGGGGAAACCCUGAUGCAGCGACGCCGCGUGAGUGAAGAAGUCUUUCGGUUUGUAAACUUCUAUCGGCAGGGAAGAUAAUGACGGUAUCUCACUAAGAAGCGCCGGCUAACUACGUGCCAGCAGCCGCGGUAAUACGUAGGGGGCAAGCGUUAUCCGGAUUUACUGGGUGUAAAGGGAGCGUAGCCGGGUGUGCAAGUCUGAUGUGAAAUCCCCUGGCUUAACCAUAGAACUGCAUUUGAAACUGUUAAUCUGGAGUGCAGGAGAGGUAGGCGGAAUUCCUAGUGUAGCGGUGAAAUGCGUAGAUAUUAGGAGGAACACCAGUGGCGAAGGCGGCCUACUGGACAGUAACUGACGUUGAGGCUCGAAAGCGUGGGGAGCAAACAGGAUUAGAUACCCUAGUAGUC
This 440-nucleotide ribosomal RNA is filed under the name uncultured bacterium. RNAcentral describes it as "partial 16S ribosomal RNA". It matches the Rfam family "Bacterial small subunit ribosomal RNA", at positions 338 to 795 of the family's 1533-position model. The record is from RNAcentral.